RNAcentral lists this ribosomal RNA (495 nucleotides) under uncultured bacterium. RNAcentral describes it as "partial 16S ribosomal RNA". It matches the Rfam family "Bacterial small subunit ribosomal RNA", at positions 28 to 507 of the family's 1533-position model. The record is from RNAcentral.
GACGAACGCUGGCGGCGUGCCUAAUACAUGCAAGUAGAACGCUGAAGGAGGAGCUUGCUUCUCUGGAUGAGUUGCGAACGGGUGAGUAACGCGUAGGUAACCUGCCUGGUAGCGGGGGAUAACUAUUGGAAACGAUAGCUAAUACCGCAUAAGAGUAGAUGUUGCAUGACAUUUGCUUAAAAGGUGCAAUUGCAUCACUACCAGAUGGACCUGCGUUGUAUUAGCUAGUUGGUGGGGUAACGGCUCACCAAGGCGACGAUACAUAGCCGACCUGAGAGGGUGAUCGGCCACACUGGGACUGAGACACGGCCCAGACUCCUACGGGAGGCAGCAGUAGGGAAUCUUCGGCAAUGGACGGAAGUCUGACCGAGCAACGCCGCGCGAGUGAAGAAGGUUUUCGGAUCGUAAAGCUCUGUUGUAAGAGAAGAACGAGUGUGAGAGUGGAAAGUUCACACUGUGACGGUAUCUUACCAGAAAGGGACGGCUAACUACGUG